RNA transcript from Polypterus senegalus (gray bichir), 5287 nucleotides. RefSeq lists it as uncharacterized. The record is from RefSeq and is a predicted model, not a curated record. The transcript is spliced from 4 exons. NCBI's taxonomy places the organism in Eukaryota, Metazoa, Chordata, Cladistia, Polypteriformes, Polypteridae.
ACCUUGAAGUGCCAGGAGUAACAAUGGAGACAUCUCUGAGCAAGCAAGAAUUGUCAUCUCAUGAUGGCUCAACUUUGGAGAUGGCCGCCCUCGGCCGACCUUUCCAGGUAGGGAUGCUCUAUGACUGUCGCACUGAUUCACUCAUUCCAGAUGUCACUCUAUGGGACUUGGAAAACCUCAAGAAAGACCUCAAAAUUAAACCUCAGAAGGACACGCAGGUCAACAUCAUCACUUUGGACUCCUUCGAUGAGAAAACUUCCAUCUUAAAUAUGACAGCCUCCCUUAAAGCGAGCUUCUUGUGUGGCUUGAUUGAGGUUGACGGAGCAGCCAAGUACCUCAAUGACACCAAACCAUCCAAACGACAGUCCAGGGUCACCAUGCACUACAGCACAACCACCAGAAUGGAGCAGCUCAGCAUGAGCCACUUGGGUAAUCAGAACGUCGUCUAUCCAGAAGUGUUUGAGCAGAAAUCAGCCACCCAUGUUGUCACAGGCGUGUUGUAUGGCGCUCAGGCUUUUUUUGUUUUUGAUGAAUGGGAGUCUAAAUUGAAAAUGAACCGAGUUAAUGAAGGAAAAUUAGAAACAUUAAUUAAAAAAUAUAUUUCCGUAGAUGGAAAAAGAGACCUAAAAAUGACAGAUGCUGACAAGGAAACCGCUGACCAUCUUAACUUCACAUUCUAUGGUGAUUUUCUCCUUGAUCACAAUCCUACAAGCUUUCAGGAUGCCAUGCAGAUUUACAACAAUUUGCCAAAGCAUAUUGACAAAGAUGACAAGCAAACUGUACCCGUCCAGGUCUGGUUGUACCCACUGAAACAUCUUGACUCACAGGCUGCUCAGCUGGUACAAGAGAUCAGUGUGGCACUCGUGUCCAAAUCUCAGGAGGUCCUGGAGGAAUUAGACGAGCACAUUAUGAGGUGUAAUGACAUCAUGAAGGACGGUGUUGUCAAUAACUUUCCUUUAAUUAAGAAAAAUGCAGAUGACUUCAAAUCAAUGCUUAAUCAAUUUAAAUAUACCUUCCAGAAAGAACUGGCAUGGGUCUUAUCAAAUAUUAGGGGGGGUGACGCAAGUGAAGAAGAGCUGGACAACAUUCUGAAGAAGAAGGAAGAGUCGCCAUUUAAGAAGUGCAUCAUAACAACAUGGCUGGAUAAAAGAGAAAAGGAAAUCACUAUGCUCAGAAUUUUCUUUAAUCGAAUCAAAGGAAUUAAACUUGAUGUUGUUAUAAAUGACCUGGAUACACUAAUUUACAAUACUAGUGUUAAACAUAUUGUCUGCUUGACUUUCACUUCACUCGAUGUGUGUCGCUCAUACAUGUCAGAAAUGGAACGCUAUCUUCAAGCCCCUUCAAGGAAGUCCUCAUAUCUUCUGUCGGAGCCAAGUGAAGAGUUAAUCAUCCAGAAUUUCAGAAAGCAUUCCCAGCGUUUCAUCGAGUUUGCUGAAAUUAACCAAAGUAGCAAGACAACGAGAUUUCUCGUGCGGUCAAAGGUUGAUGUUGAAUAUGUUGGGGCAACAAUCUAUUUGUAUAAAUGUGGGGAUCUCAUCAACCACAACUUUCAGCUUCCACCGAAACCUGAGACGCUUGUGGUUUACUUCAUAACAGACGACAGUGUAACCCUAAAGUUUAGACAACCAAAGUGUGACUUAGAAGGGUACAGAGUGGAGUAUAAGCGACUAGAAGAUAAUGAGUGGAAGACUGUGAACACAACUAAUGAAAUUGUACCAACUGAUAAAAGUGUAAAAUUUACCAUCCCAGAGUUACAUCCAGCAUCAACAUAUCAACUCAGACACAGAGCCGUUUGUCAAGUUGGUGUGAGUCAGGCCAGUGAUACGAUUGAAGUGAGGACACUGCCCGUUAAAAGGCCUCCUGGAAGACAUACUAUAAAAGACAAAUGUAAGGAGAUAAAAGGUGGAAAAUUAAGACUUUAUUUUUUGCCUUUGAAAUCACAGUUCAUAAAUACUGUAAAGACGAUAGAAACAUGUUCCUUUGGAAACAGAACAUCCAUCAAACCUUCAAAAACAAUUAUCGUCCUUGGAGAAACAGGUUCUGGUAAAUCCACCCUGAUCAACGGAAUGGUCAACUACAUCUUAGGCGUCCAGUGGGAGGAUGACUUCAGGUUCAAGGCAAUCCUUGAAGAAACAUCUAAAAGUCAAGCUGAAAGCCAGACGUCUGCUGUCAGUGUCUAUGAAAUGAACUACCAGGAUUGUUUCAAGGUCCCAUACUCCUUCACUGUAGUCGACACGCCGGGUUUUGGAGAUGCCAGAGGAAUUGAUCGGGACAAACAAAUCACUGAGCAGAUACGAGAAUGUUUUUCAUCUCCACAAGGGGUCCAGCACAUUAACGCAGUGUGCUUUGUAAUUCAGGCUUCCCAAGCUCGACUGACACACACUCAGAAGUACAUCUUUGACUCCAUUUUCUCAAUUUUUGGUAAAGACAUAACCAAUAACAUCCUGGUCCUGAUCACAUUUGCAGAUGGACAGCGUCCACCAGUUCUGAAUGCCAUCACAGACUCUAACAUACCGUUCCCCAAAGAUGACAGAGGGAGCCCUUUAUUUUUCAAAUUUAAUAAUUCAGCACUUUAUGCUAAUAAUGACGAGACUAAUACCAGUGAUGAUCAGAUGUUUGACAAAAUGUUUUGGGACAUGGGUGCAAAGAGCAUGGAGAGGUUUUUUAAGGGUUUAGAGAAGAUGGAUACUAAACGUUUGGAGACGGUAGUGGAAGGACUGCGGCUUCAAAUUAGUAAUGCACUGAGUAAACGUGAAGAAAUUACACAAACCCAUGACAUUUUAAAUAAACACAUUACUGAUAUUGAGAGCAACAAGGAUUUGGAGUAUGAAGUGGAUGUUACUGAUACAAAAACAGAGAACAUUGCAGGCACUGGGGAGUUCAUCACUAACUGUCAGAAAUGCAGCUUCACCUGUCAUUAUCCGUGUGGGUUACCAAAUGAUGAGGAUAAGAUCAGAUGUGCUGCUAUGAAGGACGGGGUCUGCACUGUUUGUCCUGGUAAGUGUGCGCGGAAUAUUCACUCCAACCAACACCACAGAUUCAUCUCUGAAGCUAAAACAGUCAAAAAGACGUUUGAUGAGCUUAAGAAGAAAUGUAAGAAGCACAAGGGGAAUUGAUGACAGCAGAACAACUGUCUGAGUGGUUUUGUCAUGAACUGGAGACUUUGAUAAAGCUGAAUCACAAACUCAGUAAGGAGUCUCGUGAAAGUAUAAAACGACUUGAAGAAAUCGCUCUCAGACGAAACUCGCUCUCCUCUCCAGAUUACAUUGAGCUCCUCAUUCAGGCUGAAAAACAAAAAGCAAAGCUGAGAUGGAUGGAGCGAGUAAAGGAACUGCAGGAAGUGAAGGAAAAGGCAGAAAUAAUAGCAAAUCUCAGCAGAAAUGAAGAACUCUCACCAAGUGUCGAAAAGAAAAGUCAAAAGAGAAAAUCGGCCGUGUCAAACUGCCAACAUAUUAAGAAACUUUUAAAGAGAUCUUUUGAAAAAAAUAAAAACUGAAUACUGAAUGAAUGUAUUUUGGACCUUUGUUAUCACUCAACUGAUGAAAUCUGUUAAGAGACUAUGAUUUUAUUAUGAAGUAAUCAAGAAUGUUAGAGCAUAUUUUAUUAAUCUCUCUGUUUAUUCUAACUACUUUGUUAAAUGCAUUUUUGGAAGAAAAGCACAGCAUUGAACUGUAACUUUGAUGAUUUUUAUUUUAUUGUAACUUCUGAUCUCUAUAAAAGUACAGUAACUUGUCUAACCACAAAAAGAGGAAAUGUUAGUAGUGACAGCAUACCAUGAAUUAAACUAGCAAAGUUGAAAGUUGACACCACAAAAAGGCAGUCUAGCAGGAUGAAAGUGAAGGACAAAGUGGCCAUUGCCCUUUCGCCUAGGCAUUUGGAUGGACCCAUGGCCUUUUAGGACAGCAGAUUGAAUCUAGAAAUUCAUCUGUACUUCCCAAGCUGCAUUCCUAAAUGAAUGGCUGAACGGCAGCUCGUACCAACACUUUGGUCAGCUCUGUUCUACAUCUGAUAACAAAAAGGUGUAAAUCAGAGCUGAGUGGGCACCUUGUAGAAACACCUUCAUACAAAAAGGCACCCAAAAUGACAUUCAUUGUAAGCUGAUCUGUGACUGGAUAUGAUGGACAAAAUAAGGCACCUAUAAGGCGACACUGGAGAUGUAUGUAGCUGAAAGCUGAUGAUCCACUCUUUUAUGGAUGAGAGGCCAUCAAUUCUCUGUGGAGCAACAAGCUCUCAAACUUCCUUUGUACUAGAAGCUAAUAUCCAUAAAGCCUCGGAGCUGGAUGAGUUGAAUGAGCUCCAAGAUCAACUCUGCCAAGCCAAGCUUUUGAUAAAAGACUGAGCUCAGUCUGAGAAGACUGAUUAGCUGCCAUAACUUCAAGAAGAGAACUUCAGUGCCUACACUCAUCUGCCAGAAAGUACCUUAAAACAAGCUGAGAAAGGCAGCAUCACACCACACCUCGGACAAAGGACCAUGUAGUUUUCAUGCUUCAUAAAAUGAGAUUAGAUGGAGUUGGUCUCGUGGACAGUGUAAGAAAGUUACUACUCAUCAAAUCUGAAAUACUGUUAAGACAUUGGAUGAGACGGCCAAGAGCAUCAUUGUUGAAAAGGCAAUAUAUUAUUUAUGUGUUGUAUCCCUUUAAUUAGUUGUCUUCCAUCUUUAUUUAUUAGUUAUUGUGAUUGGCCUGUGUUGAGUUGGAACUUGGCCAAUCACAGGGCUUCACUUUGAACCCUAUAGAUUGUUUAUUGGAGUCUGAGCAGUAGAGUAGGAGAUUCAUUUGUUAUAUGUGAAAGUUUGCGUAAUUAUUUAUAAAGUAAGUGGAAUUUAAUUGUUUGUCCUUAAAGUAUAUUGUUUGUGUUUAAAUUUAUAAUUUGGAUAUAUAUUUCAUACAGUUUCUAAAAUAUAGAUGUUUGAGGAAGCUAAAGUAUAGUUGAACAGAUGCUAUUUGGAGUUUCAUACAUAUUGUUUAUUAUAGAAUUACAGUAUUAUGGUUUCCUCAUAUAUAAUAUGUAUAUAUGUUCAGAAUAAUUACUUAUUUAAUUUGUGUAAAUGCUUUAUGGUUUAACGUUCUAGUAAUUUCCUGAUAUUGAUGUUAUCUUGAGUGUAGUAUGCCAUCUAAUGGAUAAAUGAAGUACAUGUUAAUGACUAAUGUUAACAUUGACAAGCUGUGGGUACAGAAACUGGGAUAGCUCAGUUAUGUUUAUUAUUUUAUUUAGACCAUACUUUCACAUUUGUAUAAUUUUGGAAGAAAUUAAUAAACAGCAUUUGGACAUCUUCAUCCAUCCCUGA